This 207-nucleotide ribosomal RNA is filed under the name uncultured bacterium. Its description in RNAcentral is "partial 16S ribosomal RNA". It matches the Rfam family "Bacterial small subunit ribosomal RNA", at positions 568 to 774 of the family's 1533-position model. The record is from RNAcentral.
AGCGUAGACGGCGCAGCAAGUCUGAUGUGAAAGGCAGGGGCUUAACCCCUGGACUGCAUUGGAAACUGCUGUGCUUGAGUGCCGGAGGGGUAAGCGGAAUUCCUAGUGUAGCGGUGAAAUGCGUAGAUAUUAGGAGGAACACCAGUGGCGAAGGCGGCUUACUGGACGGUAACUGACGUUGAGGCUCGAAAGUGUGGGUAGCAAACA